This 1721-nucleotide long non-coding RNA is filed under the name Bemisia tabaci. RNAcentral's name for it is "lncRNA ENSSSA3NGG007366". Lineage: Eukaryota; Metazoa; Arthropoda; Insecta; Hemiptera; Aleyrodidae. The record is from RNAcentral.
UAUCCUAGUCAUUAGUUUUUGAAGGUUGACGGAUAUCCGCCAUACUAAAUGACUUCAUUAGCUGGAUGGGCACAAAACAUUGUGUAACCCGAGAAAAAUUUGAAGAGGAGAAAGAAGAAAUUAUUGAUAGUCAGUAUAGUAUUCUAAUUGUUUUCACUGUUUUGAACUUUGUUUCGCGCUACUUAUGAUGGAAAAAAAAGAGAAAAGGAAAUGAUACCUAACGUCACUUUUAACUGAUACUUUUGAUAUGCCUAGGCAUUAUCAUGUGAUAGUGGUAAAAUUACAUUCUAAUGUAAUUGAUACAAUUAUCUUCAAUGCUAGUUCAGAAGAACAAAAAGUUUGAGGUCAUGCUGAACAUGAAACUACUAAAAGUACAAGUAUAAUGUAACUUACAUUAGUUUCAUAAAGGAGAACUUACGUGGAUGUAAUAAAUUAGAAUAAAGAAUUAAAGAUUCCCCAAAGACUUGUUAUCAUAAGUUUAUUUUGAUAACUAGUUACAUCGAGACGGGAAAGGAAAUAAACAAUAAAACCAACAGUCAUCAAAAAUUAACAACGAUCGUCGAUGCGCCGCCGGUGCGGCUCUGAUGCGCGCACGGUGGCUUUUACGAAAAUCGUUCCAUACAGACGCCAUUGCACGCAGAUUUUUCAUUUUGUUAUUGGUGUGGGGCGGGAGCCAAUCACCAUCCAGCGCGAGCAGUGCGGCUUUCGCUCACACCCUAUUGGCUGCGGGGCUGUAUCACCGGCAUCUCUUGGCCCAUUAGAAUAGAUGAUAGAUCACUGAUGCUCGACACAUCCUCCUAAUCACAUCUCAUUGGUCAGUCCCUCUCCGAUCCGGCUACACAACCUGCAACCCAUUCAACCUUACUUGUCACCGCGCCUUCGCGCCAGCCAACGUGACAGCUGACAGCGCAUCCAACCGUCCUGUUUCAGGGCCACUAUAUCGAGUACCCAGCAUGAGUGGGUUGUAUAUUCUUACACGAGUUGCGAUGACGAUGGGCAGUUGGGGUGCCUUCAGUAUGCGGUAUUUCACUGUCUACGUUGAUUCACUCUCGAAAACGGGUCCUCUUCUCGUUUUGCUAUCUCUUGGAGUCAUCUAUAUCUUGUACUACCUCCUCAGUCGACCACUAAAUUUAAUUUCCGUAAGAAGCUACGUUUAUUUUUUACAAACCUUGCUACUUAACAGAACAAAAUUGCACAGAGGUCCACACAUCGUAGCUCCUCUGACGUAAAGAUGUAUCUCGAUUUCCCUGCCGUCCGUUUGAGCCCUGCUCUCCGUUUAACUCUAUGCUCCUCUGGGCUCAUGCGUAAACCGAGAUACGCCCUUAAUUCGUCAGAGGAGCGAAAAUAUUUCGGUCUCGUAAGCUAUAUUCCGACGUAUGAUUUCCGUCUCGAUUGCUGUAGAUAAUUUAAUUUUAGAAACCAUGGUUGCUGGUUUGAACCGACUUGUUGCUAAAGCUGCCCUUUUAAUCAAAAAUAAAUUGUCCCCUCUCUGAAAGACACUAAAAAAGCCGCCUCCCCCCCCCCCCCCGCUUCAGUGAAACUGUAGAGCAGAAAAAUAUAUACACUCAGAAACUCUUUCUUCCUUUUUUAGAAAUCUAAUGAAAAAAGAGGUUUUAAUCUACUUUAAAACGUUUAGCAGUGUCAGAAUCACAACUUUCAGAACCAUUCUAUUUUUCCCCUCAAAUGAACCCACUGUAAAAAGUAACCUCACAUUUUUCCUA